Molecule: RNA transcript, 1519 nt
Organism: Macadamia integrifolia
Lineage: Eukaryota; Viridiplantae; Streptophyta; Magnoliopsida; Proteales; Proteaceae
Gene name: S-protein homolog 29-like
Exons: 2
Source: RefSeq, a predicted model, not a curated record
GGCGGCGGCGGCGGCCAGUAUUCGUCAUCCUCUGAUCUCUUGCUUCGAUUCUCGAUUCUUGUGGUUCUCUCGAUUGAUUUGUCUCAGUUUCAGUCUUUUAGCUUCUCUUGAUCACCUUUCUUGUUCGAUAUCGAGAAGUUCGAAAUGUUUUGUAGAGCGAAUCGGAGUUUACGGUGGAACAAAAAGGAAAAUUCACAAAAUUUAAUUCCUGAGAUUUGAAAUGUAAAACCCAGAGAGAGAAGGUUCGAUUGAUGAGAAUAAAAUUGAGGGACGGAUCUUUUAAAUCAAACUUCCGAUGAGGUUGAUGUUGGUGUUUCAUCGAGGGAAUCUGAAACCUCUUGUGUUACCUCUAGCGGCCCUUCGAUUAAUUUGCCGGGGGAUUAGGAGAAUCUCUGGAAAUGAACGAGAUCUUACCGAGAGGCUUAGGGGUAUCUUCAGGGAUGAAGGUGAUGAAGAUCUGUUGCUGCAGAGUACUGAUCGAGGAAACGGCAUUCUUCACUGCUACAAGCCUUGGAUGUGUAGGUAAUGGGAGGUUGCCGUGCUGAUGAAAGGCUGAGGCGUCUGUGCCGAGCAAAGCCCGAUGGAUUUUCCAGGAUUAUUUUACGCGCAUGGGUUCUGGUCUACUUUCAGUUUCUAUUUUAGAGAAUGGUUAAAUUUGCACAAUCUCUAUUCCAUUACAUGGAAUAUUUCCUGGAUAUGAUAUAACUAAAUAUGGAGUUGCCAUAAAUGGAUCAAAAACUACUCUAUUUAAGUGGGGGAAGAAGAACGAAACCUCAUAAACAACACAAGAAGAACAACGCAGCAAGAGCGAGAACAAGAACAAGAACACAAUGGGCGGUUUUACUAGUAUCGUUCCUGUUUUGAUCAUUCUUGCUGUGAUGAUGGAGUACUCAUCUUCUUCAGUUUCUGGGUGCUUCACGACUACUCAUAAGCAUGUAAGAGUGAAGAACAUGUUGGCUCCAGGAAAGAGAUUGCAUCUGCAGUGUCAAUCAAAGGAAGAUGAUUUCGGAGAGAAGGCACUUUAUUACAAUGAGGAAUUCACAUGGGACUUCUGUGAUACUAUUUUUACUGACACUCUCUACAGUUGUGAUUUCUGGUAUAACAGGAAUGGUGUAUUUGUAGCUACUCAUGCAGACGUUUAUUUUGCAGCAAGAGAUUUUUGUAGAGACUGCAUGGCUAUUGUAAAAUUUGAUGGGGUUCAUGUUGUAGACAAAUUAAAACCUGAGGACGACAAAGUGGUUGCACAUUGGCCUAAGUAAGAGGGCAGAAUUUGGAUCCCCUGUUCCUACUUUCACCUCGACAUAAAUUUUUAAAGCUUUUAUUUCUAUAUUACUUUAAUUGUGUCAUAGGGUUUGUCUUGUUUGAUUUAGGUACCUCUCCUCUUUUCUCUUGCUCUGCACAAAGAAGGUUGUACAAGGUUGUACGGGAUGCCUUAAUCUGUCUUUUAAUAUUUUUCUUUUUCAUUAAUACAUAGAAGUUACAGAUCAAUAAUAAAAGAAGGUUGUAUGGGUUGCCUCAA